Molecule: long non-coding RNA, 333 nt
Filed under: Carica papaya (papaya)
Lineage: Eukaryota; Viridiplantae; Streptophyta; Magnoliopsida; Brassicales; Caricaceae
Description: long non-coding RNA (CPAP_LNC001948)
Source: RNAcentral
CUUUCCGGUGGCUAGGGUUAGGGUUUGGUGUUGAUGGGGGUUAUUUAUAUUCGUCCGCUUUUGAUCUGGACCAUCCAUCACGUUUGAUCUGGAUCGUUUGAUUUGGAUGGUCCGAUCACGAUCCAAUCUGGAUCGUUCAUCGCGAUCUAAUCUGGAUCGUCGAAUCGCGUUCAAAUCUGACUGUCCGAUCAUGUUUGGGGAGGGAACGCAUCUGGGCCGUUCGUGCGCGCAAGAACGGAUAUGAGCCAUUUGAUUGCAGGAGCGUGGACCACCCGCGUGGUAUUGCGUGAGUGUUCACUGCCACGCGUCCUGUUCUAGUUCGUCGGGGCUACU